AGUGAACGCUGGCGGUAGGCCUAACACAUGCAAGUCGAACGGCAGCACAGUAAGAGCUUGCUCUUACGGGUGGCGAGUGGCGGACGGGUGAGGAAUACAUCGGAAUCUACUUUUUCGUGGGGGAUAACGUAGGGAAACUUACGCUAAUACCGCAUACGACCUACGGGUGAAAGCAGGGGAUCUUCGGACCUUGCGCGAUUGAAUGAGCCGAUGUCGGAUUAGCUAGUUGGCGGGGUAAAGGCCCACCAAGGCGACGAUCCGUAGCUGGUCUGAGAGGAUGAUCAGCCACACUGGAACUGAGACACGGUCCAGACUCCUACGGGAGGCAGCAGUGGGGAAUAUUGGACAAUGGGCGCAAGCCUGAUCCAGCCAUACCGCGUGGGUGAAGAAGGCCUUCGGGCUGUAAAGCCCUUUUGUUGGGAAAGAAAAGCAGCAGGUUAAUACCCCGCUGUUCUGACGGUACCCAUAGAAUAAGCACCGGCUAACUUCGUG
RNAcentral lists this ribosomal RNA (492 nucleotides) under uncultured bacterium. RNAcentral describes it as "partial 16S ribosomal RNA". It matches the Rfam family "Bacterial small subunit ribosomal RNA", at positions 29 to 507 of the family's 1533-position model. The record is from RNAcentral.